This 253-nucleotide ribosomal RNA is filed under the name uncultured bacterium. Its description in RNAcentral is "partial 16S ribosomal RNA". It matches the Rfam family "Bacterial small subunit ribosomal RNA", at positions 524 to 776 of the family's 1533-position model. The record is from RNAcentral.
UACGUAGGGUGCGAGCGUUAAUCGGAAUUACUGGGCGUAAAGCGUGCGCAGGCGGUGAGCUGUGUCCGAUGUGAAAGCCCCAGGCUUAACCUGGGAAUGGCAUUGGAAACUGGCUCGCUGGAGUGUGGCAGAGGGGGGUGGAAUUCCGCGUGUAGCAGUGAAAUGCGUAGAGAUGCGGAGGAACACCGAUGGCGAAGGCAGCCCCCUGGGCUAACACUGACGCUCAGGCACGAAAGCGUGGGGAGCAAACAGG